RNAcentral lists this ribosomal RNA (465 nucleotides) under Vreelandella stevensii. Its description in RNAcentral is "partial 16S ribosomal RNA". It matches the Rfam family "Bacterial small subunit ribosomal RNA", at positions 338 to 795 of the family's 1533-position model. Lineage: Bacteria; Pseudomonadati; Pseudomonadota; Gammaproteobacteria; Oceanospirillales; Halomonadaceae. The record is from RNAcentral.
CCUACGGGAGGCUGCAGUGGGGAAUAUUGGACAAUGGGGGGAACCCUGAUCCAGCCAUGCCGCGUGUGUGAAGAAGGCCCUCGGGUUGGAAAGCACUUUCAGUGAGGAAGAACGCCUGGUGGUUAAUACCCAUCAGGAAAGACAUCACUCACAGAAGAAGCACCGGCUAACUCCGUGCCAGCAGCCGCGGUAAUACGGAGGGUGCGAGCGUUAAUCGGAAUUACUGGGCGUAAAGCGCGCGUAGGUGGCUUGAUAAGCCGGUUGUGAAAGCCCCGGGCUCAACCUGGGAACGGCAUCCGGAACUGUCAAGCUAGAGUGCAGGAGAGGAAGGUAGAAUUCCCGGUGUAGCGGUGAAAUGCGUAGAGAUCGGGAGGAAUACCAGUGGCGAAGGCGGCCUUCUGGACUGACACUGACACUGAGGUGCGAAAGCGUGGGUAGCAAACAGGAUUAGAUACCCUAGUAGUC